CACGUAGGCGGCCUGGCAAGUCCGACGUGAAAGCCCGGGGCUCAACCCCGGACGUGCAUCGGAAACUGCUUGGCUUGAAUGCCGGAGGGGCCCCAGAGAAUUCCCGGUGUAGAGGUGAAAUUCGUAGAUAUCGGGAGGAAUACCAGUGGCGAAGGCGCUGGGCUGGACGGUGAUUGACGCUGAGGUGCGAAAGCGUGGGGAGCAAACA
RNAcentral lists this ribosomal RNA (208 nucleotides) under uncultured bacterium. RNAcentral's name for it is "partial 16S ribosomal RNA". It matches the Rfam family "Bacterial small subunit ribosomal RNA", at positions 568 to 774 of the family's 1533-position model. The record is from RNAcentral.